Molecule: ribosomal RNA, 429 nt
Filed under: Bacillota bacterium
Lineage: Bacteria; Bacillati; Bacillota
Description: Firmicutes bacterium partial 16S ribosomal RNA
Rfam family: Bacterial small subunit ribosomal RNA
Source: RNAcentral
UAGGGAAUCUUCGGCAAUGGACGGAAGUCUGACCGAGCAACGCCGCGUGAGUGAAGAAGGUUCUCGGAUCGUAAAGCUCUGUUGUUAGAGAAGAACGAUGGUAGGAGUGGAAAAUCUACCAAGUGACGGUAACUAACCAGAAAGGGACGGCUAACUACGUGCCAGCAGCCGCGGUAAUACGUAGGUCCCGAGCGUUGUCCGGAUUUAUUGGGCGUAAAGCGAGCGCAGGCGGUUCUUUAAGUCUGAAGUAAAAGGCAGUGGCUUAACCAUUAUACGCGUUGGAAACUGGAGGACUGGAGUGCAGAAGGGGAGAGUGGAAUUCCAUGUGUAGCGGUGAAAUGCGUAGAUAUAUGGAGGAACACCGGUGGCGAAGGCGGCUCUCUGGUCUGUAACUGACGCUGAGGCUCGAAAGCGUGGGGAGCAAACAGG